AAUACUAAAUUUAUAAAUAGGUAUGUAAAAUAUGUAUCUGAAAUGUAUAAAAUAUGAUUUUAUGUUUUGAAAGUUUUUAUAAAUUCUAAAAAGUAUAAUAAUUAAUUAAAGUAAAAAUCUCUAUCCUUCCAGACUUGUGUAUUCUGGUCGAUGAAAACCUUAGACAUUCAUCAACUUCGGCAAAACUCAUAUUUCUUGUUUCUAAUUAGUAUUAACCACAGGUACAUGAUAGAUUAGUUCCAAACACAAAAGCGUCAAGUUAACAACUUUGUAGUAAAUUUAAAAAAUUAUUCACCAAAUUUAUUGUUAGUCAAUAAUUAAUAAAGUUCUUGCAUAUAAACUAUUUGUAUUCCACAAGAAAAAUAGACUAACAUAUACUCCUCUUCUUUAAUUUCGUGUUGCAUGCUCUUUCGAGAAUAAUUUUACAUUUCUUUCAGGAGUUUAUACAAGUUUAUUUAUCUUCUGUUUGGUAGAAAUUUUUUGAAAAUAAAUUUGUAAAAAUUGAAUUUAUUUUUUAUUUUUUGGAGGAUUUAUAACAUACACAGCCCUUAAGUGUCUUGCGCAGACAGAAAACCUAGCUCAAGCCACGUCACAAGUACGAGCUGGAUGCAUAGUAAUUGGUCUCCUGCUUCAAGCUUAGUCAGAGUACUUUUCUCUUGGAAGUAUGGAAUAAAACAAAAGUGAAAUUUCUUUGUUAUCUUCUCUCAGUUCUGGACUUCCUAUGGAGGUUAUGAGAAACUUAUAAAUUAUAAUAGUUUGAUUAUAGUAAUGGCAAGUUCAACAAGGUUUUGGUCCCAACUUCCAAGAGGUUGGAAAGAGCAAGGUCUAAACAAGUGCUACAUAUACUUUCACAAAGAGAUAGACAACCCUUCUCUCUCCCUUUUUUGCAGGAAACUCAUCUCUGAAUUAGCUACGCCAUGUCUAGCAAAUAUAACAAUCCCCAGCCCCCCAAUCGGACAACAUUAGUAAUCUAAGUCUCCAUCAAGGUCCAACUCUGUCUCUUUGUGCCAGUGCCACCGCCUUAUGUGAGCACAAUUUCCUGCGGACUUUCUCAGCCAUCAGAGAGAGAGAGUGGGGCUGGAGCAUGCAAACCCUCCCAUUUCUUCCAUUUCGUGCACUCUUAUUUGCAGAAAGUUGGCAUUCUCUGAACUCUCUCCCUCAGUGGCCCUUUCAUGACUUUAGGUUGAAGGAGAAGCCUUUGAGAUGUGGGGGUUCAGAAAUUGCCAGCCUUCUUACCAGUUUCAACAGUUCAUUAAUAAGCCGCGUGCAGAUAUAUAUACAAAAUUAGUAAGUAUUAAUUUGUUUUAGAAACUUUUAAACUCUAACUUACAUGCUCUAACUCAAUGAUAGAAUCCGAAAAAUAGCCUUUUGUUUUUCUUUGAAAAGUUAUAAUUCAAAAUAUUGUUCUCUGGAUUUCUUCAUCUCUUUUUUCACUUCUAAAGAAUUGGAUUUUGUUAUGUUUUGUACAAAAUAAGAACCCUUGCUACCUGGCAUGACCUCACUACCAAUGCCAGAUGUAAUAUGCUUAAUUUAAAUUUUGUCCAAUUCCUUCCACACAAACAAUAAAACAGUAAUAAUACAACCCUCUUUAUUUGCUACUGUGCAAGUUGAACAAUGUUUUGGUUUAUGGAACUUCGAAGGAUAUUUAGUGUCAACGGGCUUCAUGUUUUUUCAUCCUUUUUCUCAUAUCGGUUGACAAGAGGAUGAUUUGAACCAUCAGAAUCCCUUUUCUAUUCGGAGAAGUUCUUUUCAACGUGCAUUACUCUUUUAUGCCAAUAUAGCAUCUACUUGAAUAGUGGGUAUUUGAAAUUCUAUUUUCCUGAUAUGUAUGGUUAUUUUUGUUGGAAUGUUUUAAACUUUCACAAUAAAUAUUAAUUUUCAUUUUGAUUUCAAUAUUAACUUUUUAUACAAAAUUAAAUCUCAUAAUUUAGGUUGUAACUUAAGAAUAAAAGUUUCAACCUUUCAAAUUAAAACCUCUUAAUUUCAAGUUUUAACAUAAAAUUAAAAUAUCAUAAUACAUAUUAUAACUUAUGCUUUAAUGAUAUAAAUGUGGGGGGUUGAAUUUUCUACUAUAAAAAAAGGUGGAUUUCAUAUCCUUUUUGACACACAAAAAAAUCAAACACAAAAGAUACUCUUUAGUAUUUUCAUACUACUCUCUAAUCAUUUUAUACUAUAUUUCUAAAGUUUGUAGCAACUUGAUGAAAGACUCGUUCAAUUAUCUCUUUAUGGUCGUGCCCAUAGAAGGAGAGCCACAUGAGUUUUAUUUUGGAGCCAUGUAGUACUGAAAGAACCCGCACGAAGGGUGGACAACACAACUUUAAGACAGCGUCCUCUACGUGACUCCCAAGGCUUGAUUUUCUAACUCUCUUCUUAUAUUUAUAUUAUUUUGAAUCAUGUUAAUGUUAUUUAAUUGAAUUGUGCAAAUCAUCAAUUUCCC
This 2437-nucleotide long non-coding RNA is filed under the name Olea europaea subsp. europaea. The record is from RNAcentral. Lineage: Eukaryota; Viridiplantae; Streptophyta; Magnoliopsida; Lamiales; Oleaceae.